Molecule: long non-coding RNA, 793 nt
Organism: Lolium rigidum
Lineage: Eukaryota; Viridiplantae; Streptophyta; Magnoliopsida; Poales; Poaceae
Exons: 5
Source: RefSeq, a predicted model, not a curated record
ACAGGGGGGUCGAAGGAGGAAGGCCUGCAGGCGACGGCCCUGACCAGGAUGCUGCAGCCGGCCAGCGACCACCUCCCUGACCUUCUCCCCACGCCGGCAACCUUCCUGAUUUGACGCCAUCCGGCUUCCUCUCCGCCCCGGCCCCGCCAGUGAGUCCUCUGCUUUUUCCAGACAAUUCAAUGCCUCGGUUUCUGGCUCGGCGUCGACAUUGGUGGUUGUCAUGCUUCUGGUUUUUAUGGUCUUUAUAUGUUCAGGAGGACUUCCUCCUCUCGGAUGCUGUCGACAAAAAUGAGUAAAACGGAUAGGUGCAUCUCGCUGCCUUUCGAUAAUAAUUUUCUGCUGUUUUGGCUGCCUAUGCAUUACAAUCGCCAGGCGAAUACCCUAGCUACCUUUGUAUGGUGGUACAGACCAAUGCGGCAGCGAUGGCGAGGAACCGCAGCUCCAAGUUCAGGACUACGCCGGAGACAAGAACGACUCAUAGUAAGGUGCAUCCUGCUGCCUUCUCUGAUCAAUCCGUGAUAUUUUGGCAGCCACGCAAUUGUUGCUGCACAGAAAGGUUCAGAUCAUACCAGGGUUGAAUAGCACCAAGCUGAGCGUACCAGGAGGCGGUGUUGGAGGGUGGACCAGGACUCCACUUGUGCUUUCAGGUCUCCGAUUUUUCUGCAUGCAUAGGGCUGCUCUUAUGAUUCCUCUCCUCUCCUUUUCUUUUUGAAUGUACAGUCUGUUGUAUGCAUAGUCUCUGGAAGUAUAUACAAGAUUGCUCAAAUAUGUAUAUUUCUGGCUUCUUUGUUCA